UACGUAGGGUGCGAGCGUUGUCUGGAAUUAUUGGGCGUAAAGGGCUCGUAGGCGGUCUGUUGCGUCGGGAGUGAAAACUCAGGGCUUAACCCUGAGCCUGCUUCCGAUACGGGCAGACUAGAGGUAUGCAGGGGAGAACGGAAUUCCUGGUGUAGCGGUGAAAUGCGCAGAUAUCAGGAGGAACACCGGUGGCGAAGGCGGUUCUCUGGGCAUUACCUGACGCUGAGGAGCGAAAGUGUGGGGAGCGAACAGG
RNAcentral lists this ribosomal RNA (253 nucleotides) under uncultured bacterium. RNAcentral describes it as "partial 16S ribosomal RNA". It matches the Rfam family "Bacterial small subunit ribosomal RNA", at positions 524 to 776 of the family's 1533-position model. The record is from RNAcentral.